RNAcentral lists this ribosomal RNA (429 nucleotides) under Chloroflexota bacterium. RNAcentral's name for it is "Chloroflexi bacterium partial 16S ribosomal RNA". It matches the Rfam family "Bacterial small subunit ribosomal RNA", at positions 355 to 776 of the family's 1533-position model. The record is from RNAcentral. Lineage: Bacteria; Bacillati; Chloroflexota.
UGGGGAAUAUUGCACAAUGGGCGCAAGCCUGAUGCAGCCAUGCCGCGUGUAUGAAGAAGGCCUUCGGGUUGUAAAGUACUUUCAGCGGGGAGGAAGGGAGUAAAGUUAAUACCUUUGCUCAUUGACGUUACCCGCAGAAGAAGCACCGGCUAACUCCGUGCCAGCAGCCGCGGUAAUACGGAGGGUGCAAGCGUUAAUCGGAAUUACUGGGCGUAAAGCGCACGCAGGCGGUCUGUCAAGUCGGAUGUGAAAUCCCCGGGCUCAACCUGGGAACUGCAUUCGAAACUGGCAGGCUAGAGUCUUGUAGAGGGGGGUAGAAUUCCAGGUGUAGCGGUGAAAUGCGUAGAGAUCUGGAGGAAUACCGGUGGCGAAGGCGGCCCCCUGGACAAAGACUGACGCUCAGGUGUGAAAGCGUGGGGAGCAAACAGG